Molecule: long non-coding RNA, 827 nt
Organism: Helianthus annuus (common sunflower)
Lineage: Eukaryota; Viridiplantae; Streptophyta; Magnoliopsida; Asterales; Asteraceae
Exons: 2
Source: RefSeq, a predicted model, not a curated record
CGCACAAUUCUCUCUCUCACUCGUUCACUCUUGUCCGGCGAAGGACCACGGCGGAGCCGGCCGGCCACCGGCAGAGCCGCGGUGGCGUCACGGCGGCACCACCACCGGCGGCGGUGGUUCGGCGGCUGAUUUCCGGUGAGACACCCCCCUUUUCUCGGUUCCCCUUUCCGACAACACCCACCACACCCCUGAAACACCCCUUUUCUGUUCGAUCUGUCCAAUCGGACCACCACCACCAUCGUUAGGAGGUGGUGAUGAGCGAUAACUGGUUCCAGAGGGCAAAGAGAGAGAGAGAGAGACGAGAUAGAGAGAGAGAGGCCGAAGAGAGGGAGAGAGCGGCGGAGACAAAGCAGCGCCGCCGCUCACGGCGGCGGCAGUAGCGUCGACGGUGGUGCUUUGGCUCGAUGACAGGAGCUCCGGUUCGAGGAAGCAGGCGAGUCAGCCGGGGCAGUCGAGUUAACUCAGUUAAACCGAGUUAACUCGACUCAGGUCCGGGUCAAUUCAGUUCGGGUGUGGUCAAACCGGUCAGACAGUCAACGGAUGGGUUCGGUUCAGGUUUGGUUCGGUCAACGGGCCAGCAGCUCAGUCAAACGGGUCGGUUCGGCUUGACUCCGCCAAACCGAGUCAACUCAGUGGUCGGGUCAGCGGUUCAGCUUAGCAGUUUGGUUCAAGCCAGCCAGUCGGGUCAGAUUAUGAAGCGGUUCGGGUCGACUCGGUCAAGCCUGGUCAACUCAGCGUGUCAACUUGGUCAACCUGGUUAACUCGGUCAACUCAGCUUUUUGAUAAGAGAUUUUAGUAAAGUCUUGGCGCGAUAAUUACUUAUGCUA